CACGUAGUUAGCCGGGGCUUCUUGGUCAGGUACCGUCAUUUUCUUCCCUGCUGAUAGAGCUUUACAUACCGAAAUACUUCUUCACUCACGCGGCGUCGCUGCAUCAGGGUUUCCCCCAUUGUGCAAUAUUCCCCACUGCUGCCUCCCGUAGGAGUUUGGGUCGUGUCUCAGUCCCAAUGUGGCCGUUCACCCUCUCAGGCCGGCUACUGAUCGUCGCUUUGGUAGGCCGUUACCCUGCCAACUGGCUAAUCAGACGCGGGUCCAUCUCACACCGAUAAAUCUUUUCCAACCAGAGCAUGCGCCCCUGUUGGCUUAUGCGGUAUUAGCGGUCGUUUCCAACUGUUAUCCCCCUGUGUGAGGCAGGUUACCCACGCGUUACUCACCCGUCCGCCACUCAGUCACAAAAGACUUCAUCCGAAGAAUCGUUCUUAAGUGCUUCGUUCGACUUUGCAUGUGUAAGCACGCCGCCAGCGUUCAUCCUGAGCCGAGUCAAACUCU
RNAcentral lists this ribosomal RNA (498 nucleotides) under uncultured Lachnospiraceae bacterium. Its description in RNAcentral is "partial 16S ribosomal RNA". Lineage: Bacteria; Bacillati; Bacillota; Clostridia; Lachnospirales; Lachnospiraceae. The record is from RNAcentral.